GACGAACGCUGGCGGCGUGCUUAACACAUGCAAGUCGAACGGAAAGUCGCGGCUUUUGCCGGGUUCUCGAGUGCCGAACUGGGGAGUAACACGUGAGUAACCUCCCCUUGACUGUGUGACAACUUCAGGGGACUGGGGCUAAUACACGAUAGGAGAUCCUGCAGCAUGGGGGUGCUUGGAAAGUUUCGGCGGUUGUGGAUCGACUCGCGGCUUAUCAGCUUGUUGGGGGUGUAGUGGCGUACCAGGGCUUUGACGGGUAGGCUGCAUGCGAGGGUGAACAGGCACCAGACGCCUGAGCUACGCAGCAGACUAGAAUGGGAGGCAGAGGUGGAGAGCAUUGCACAGCGGGGGGGCGCGUGAGGUAGCGGUGCCGCGUGCGGGAAGCCGGGCUUUGGGUUGUAAACCGCUUUCGACUGAGACGAAGAGUGAGUGACGGUACCGGGUAAAGAAGCACCGGCUAACUACGUG
Molecule: ribosomal RNA, 468 nt
Filed under: uncultured bacterium
Lineage: Bacteria
Description: partial 16S ribosomal RNA
Rfam family: Bacterial small subunit ribosomal RNA
Source: RNAcentral